RNAcentral lists this ribosomal RNA (468 nucleotides) under uncultured bacterium. Its description in RNAcentral is "partial 16S ribosomal RNA". It matches the Rfam family "Bacterial small subunit ribosomal RNA", at positions 28 to 507 of the family's 1533-position model. The record is from RNAcentral.
GACGAACGCUGGCGGCGUGCUUAACACAUGCAAGUCGAACGGAAAGGCCCUGCUUUUGUGGGGUGCUCGAGUGGCGAACGGGUGAGUAACACGUGAGUAACCUGCCCUUGACUUUGGGAUAACUUCAGGAAACUGGGGCUAAUACCGGAUAGGAGCUCCUGCUGCAUGGUGGGGGUUGGAAAGUUUCGGCGGUUGGGGAUGGACUCGCGGCUUAUUAGAUUGUUGGUGGGGUAGUGUAUUACCAAGGCUUGGACGGGUAGCAGGGCUGAUCGGGGAACAGGCCACGUUGGACUUGGACUGCGACACGGCCCAGUCUCGUACGGAGGGGUGGAGUAUAGUGUAUUAUGGGCGGAGCCCUAGUGUGGUCCAGCCGCGUGGGGUGUGAGGUGAUUGCCUUAGUAUUCCGCUUUCCUCUUUGCCGAAGUGUGAGUGACAGUAAUGGGUAAAGAAGCACCGGCUAACUACGUG